RNA transcript from Crotalus tigris (Tiger rattlesnake), 1778 nucleotides. It is a transcript of the gene named USH1 protein network component sans, with no coding region annotated. The transcript has 3 exons. NCBI's taxonomy places the organism in Eukaryota, Metazoa, Chordata, Lepidosauria, Squamata, Viperidae. The record is from RefSeq and is a predicted model, not a curated record.
UUCCUAGAACUCUGUUGCCAUCUCUGUGCUGCUCGCCCUCCCAGUGACAUGGGCAGGCUUUAAGGCUACACUAUGAAUGACCAAUACCACCGUGCAGCCAGAGAUGGCUAUCUGGACCUGCUGAAGGAAGCCACCAAGAAGGACUUAAAUUCCCCUGAUGAAGAUGGCAUGACCCCAACCCUGUGGGCCGCCUACCAUGGCAACUUGGAUGCCUUAAGGCUGAUAGUUAGCAGAGGGGGUGAUCCAGACAAAUGUGACAUCUGGGGGAACACACCUCUUCAUCUGGCAGCAGCCAAUGGCCACCUGAAUUGCCUCUCCUUCCUGGUGUCUUUUGGGGCCAAUAUCUGGUGUCUGGACAAUGACUACCACACACCGUUGGACAUGGCCGCCAUGAAGGGUCACAUGGAGUGUGUGCGUUACUUGGACUCCAUUGCUGCAAAGCAAAGCAGCCUCAAUCCGAAGCUGGUGAGCAAGUUGAAGGACAAAGCCUUUAAAGAUGCAGAGAAACGCAUUAAGGACUGUGUAAAGAUGCAGAAGAAACAUCAUGAAAGGAUGGAGAAGCGAUACAAGAAAGAGAUGUCUGACCGCUCGGACACGAUGAGUUUCUCCAGCUACUCCAGUAGCACCCUGAGUAGGAGACUGCCACACGUGUCCAUGAUGAAUUCCUUGCCUUACUCUCAGGCCACCAUACAGGGCACAGCCAAGGGCAAGACAAAAAUCCAAAAGAAACUGGAGAAAAAGAAACAGGUGGAUGGGACGUUCAAAAUUUAUGAGGAUGGGAGGAAAAGCGUGAGGUCCUUGUCUGGCUUACAGCUGGGCAACGAUGUCAUGUUUGUGAAACAAGGCACCUAUAUUAGCCCAAAGGAAUGGACUCGGCGAAAUGUUAGAGAUAUGUUUCUGUCUGAUGAAGAUACUGUCUCCCGUGCCAUAAGUGACCCAGGUUUGCACAUGGACUCCACCCAUUCUGAGGUCAGUACUGAUUCUGGCCAUGACUCUUUAUUCAAUCGGCCUGGACUUGGUACCAUGGUUUUCCGGAGGAACUAUGUCAGUAGCGGUCUAUUUGGGAUUGGUCAAAGUGAACCCAGUAUUUUGGGGGAAGGCAAUACAGACAGGAUGAGUGUUAAGCUUCACAGCCGCCUUCAAUGCUCGCCAAGUCUUAACGACAGUAUCGGCAGUGCCAACAGCCUGCAGGAGAGGAAUCUGGAGGACUUGCCCUGGGAUGAAGUGGAACUGGGUCUGGAUGAUGAUAUCGAACCCGACACUAGCCCUCUGGAGACCUUCCUGGCUUCUUUGAAUAUGUUUGAGUUUAUUUCUAUCUUUAAGAAGGAGAAGAUUGAUCUGGAAGCUCUGAUGUUGUGUUCAGACAAUGAUCUGAAAAGUAUCAACAUUCCGCUGGGGCCCAGGAAAAAGAUUCUGGAUGCUGUUCAAAGAAGGAAAGAGACUUUGGACAAGCCUGAUGUCAUAGAAGACACGGAUCUGUAAGCAAUAGAACUGCUCCACUUCAUACUUGUGGGUGCCCUCAGGUCUUCAACAUAUGACGCGCAUAACUUAGAAGGAUAGCCAUGAACGCAGGGGAAAACCACUUCUAAGUUGCCAGAAAUUAUCUUCUAGAGAUCCGAUCGAAUGCCACAACAAAACGCCUCAAUUCUUUCUCAGUUUCCUUUUUCUGCUUUACUGUCUGCAGAAGCUUGUCUGGUGCUAAGGAGCUUUUUUUUUAAGGGGGAGGGGAAGGAACGCAAUUGCAUUAAACUAAAACAUAUAAUCUACUGGGAGAGCUA